GCCAAUAUAGCUCAGUUGGCAGAGCAGCGGUUUCGUAAACCGCAGGCCAAGGGUUCAAAUCCCUUUAUUGGCUCCA
This 76-nucleotide transfer RNA is filed under the name Christensenellaceae bacterium. RNAcentral describes it as "tRNA-Thr". It matches the Rfam family "tRNA". From Rfam's summary of the family: Transfer RNA (tRNA) molecules are approximately 80 nucleotides in length. Their secondary structure includes four short double-helical elements and three loops (D, anti-codon, and T loops). Further hydrogen bonds mediate the characteristic L-shaped molecular structure. tRNAs have two regions of fundamental functional importance: the anti-codon, which is responsible for specific mRNA codon recognition, and the 3' end, to which the tRNAs corresponding amino acid is attached (by aminoacyl-tRNA synthetases). tRNAs cope with the degeneracy of the genetic code in two manners: having more than one tRNA (with a specific anti-codon) for a particular amino acid; and 'wobble' base-pairing, i.e. permitting non-standard base-pairing at the 3rd anti-codon position. Lineage: Bacteria; Bacillati; Bacillota; Clostridia; Christensenellales; Christensenellaceae. The record is from RNAcentral.